RNAcentral lists this ribosomal RNA (440 nucleotides) under uncultured bacterium. RNAcentral's name for it is "partial 16S ribosomal RNA". It matches the Rfam family "Bacterial small subunit ribosomal RNA", at positions 338 to 795 of the family's 1533-position model. The record is from RNAcentral.
CCUACGGGAGGCAGCAGUGGGGAAUAUUGCACAAUGGGGGAAACCCUGAUGCAGCGACGCCGCGGGAGGGAGGAAGAAUUUCGGGAUGUAAAGCGCGAGCAGCAGGGAAGAAAAGGACGGUACGUGACUAAGAAGACCCGGCUAACUACGUGACAGCAGCCGCGGUAAUACGUAGGGGGCGAGCGUUAUCCGGAUUUACAGGGGGGAAAGGGAGCGUAGACGGCUGGUCAAGUCUGAAGUGAAAGCCCGGGGCUUAACCCCGGAACGGCUUUGGAAACGGAGCAGCUAGAGGGCUGGAGAGGUCAUCGGCAUUCCUCGUGUAGCGGUGAACUGCGUAGAUAUUAGGCGGAACCCCAGUGGCGAAGGCGGCUUACUGGACCGUAACUGACGUUGCGGCUCGAAAGCGUGGGGAGCACACAGGCUUAGCUCCCCCUGUAGUC